RNAcentral lists this ribosomal RNA (477 nucleotides) under uncultured bacterium. Its description in RNAcentral is "partial 16S ribosomal RNA". It matches the Rfam family "Bacterial small subunit ribosomal RNA", at positions 30 to 507 of the family's 1533-position model. The record is from RNAcentral.
AUUGAACGCUGGCGGCAUGCCUUACACAUGCAAGUCGAACGGUAACAGGUUAAGCUGACGAGUGGCGAACGGGUGAGUAAUGUAUCGGAACGUGCCCAGUCGUGGGGGAUAACUGCUCGAAAGAGCAGCUAAUACCGCAUACGACCUGAGGGUGAAAGCGGGGGAUCGCAAGACCUCGCGCGAUUGGAGCGGCCGAUAUCAGAUUAGGUAGUUGGUGAGGUAAAGGCUCACCAAGCCGACGAUCUGUAGCUGGUCUGAGAGGACGACCAGCCACACUGGGACUGAGACACGGCCCAGACUCCUACGGUAGGCAGCAGUGGGGAAUUUUGGACAAUGGGCGCAAGCCUGAUCCAGCCAUGCCGCGUGCGGGAAGAAGGCCUUCGGGUUGUAAACCGCUUUUGUCAGGGAAGAAAAGGUUCUGGCUAAUACCUGGGACUCAUGACGGUACCUGAAGAAUAAGCACCGGCUAACUACGUG